Molecule: RNase P RNA, 393 nt
Filed under: Blastocatellia bacterium
Lineage: Bacteria; Pseudomonadati; Acidobacteriota; Blastocatellia
Description: RNase P RNA component class A
Rfam family: Bacterial RNase P class A
About the family: Ribonuclease P (RNase P) is a ubiquitous endoribonuclease, found in archaea, bacteria and eukarya as well as chloroplasts and mitochondria.
Source: RNAcentral
GAGGCUCGUCGGGCGGUCGCUGUCGCAGCAAUGCGAGAGAGGAAAGUCCGAACACCAAAGGGCAGCGAGCCGGAUAACAUCCGGGCUUCCGUUUAUUCGGAAGACGACAAGUGCAACAGAGAGUAAACCAGCCUCGAUUCGUCGAGGCGAUGGGUGAAAGGGUGAGGUAAGAGCUCACCAGCGUCUGCCGGUAACGGCGGCGGCUAGGUAAACUCCUCGUGGUGCAAGAUCAAAUAGGGAACCGCUAAUCCAUCGUACGGCCCGUACGAAGUCCUGAUGGGCGGCAGGUUCCGGGUAGAUCGCUUGAUCUCGACAGUAAUGUCGAGGCUAGAUGAAUGAUCGCCAUCUCGAUUCGUCGGGAUACAAGAUUCGGCUUACAGACGAGCCUCAUAG